Molecule: ribosomal RNA, 746 nt
Filed under: uncultured Parvimonas sp.
Lineage: Bacteria; Bacillati; Bacillota; Tissierellia; Tissierellales; Peptoniphilaceae
Description: bacterial SSU rRNA
Rfam family: Bacterial small subunit ribosomal RNA
Source: RNAcentral
GACGAACGCUGGCGGCGUGCUUAACACAUGCAAGUCGAACGUGAUUUUUGUGGAAAUUCUUUCGGGAAUGGAAAUGAAAUGAAAGUGGCGAACGGGUGAGUAACACGUGAGCAACCUACCUUACACAGGGGGAUAGCCGUUGGAAACGACGAUUAAUACCGCAUGAGACCACAGAAUCGCAUGAUAUAGGGGUCAAAGAUUUAUCGGUGUAAGAAGGGCUCGCGUCUGAUUAGCUAGUUGGAAGGGUAAAGGCCUACCAAGGCGACGAUCAGUAGCCGGUCUGAGAGGAUGAACGGCCACAUUGGAACUGAGACACGGUCCAAACUCCUACGGGAGGCAGCAGCGGGGAAUAUUGCACAAUGGGGGGAACCCUGAUGCAGCGACGCCGCGUGAGCGAAGAAGGUUUUCGAAUCGUAAAGCUCUGUCCUAUGAGAAGAUAAUGACGGUAUCAUAGGAGGAAGCCCCGGCUAAAUACGUGCCAGCAGCCGCGGUAAUACGUAUGGGGCGAGCGUUGUCCGGAAUUAUUGGGCGUAAAGGGUACGUAGGCGGUUUUUUAAGUCAGGUGUGAAAGCGUGAGGCUUAACCUCAUUAAGCACUUGAAACUGGAAGACUUGAGUGAAGGAGAGGAAAGUGGAAUUCCUAGUGUAGCGGUGAAAUGCGUAGAUAUUAGGAGGAAUACCGGUGGCGAAGGCGACUUUCUGGACUUUUACUGACGCUCAGGUACGAAAGCGUGGGGAGCAAACAGG